RNAcentral lists this ribosomal RNA (468 nucleotides) under uncultured bacterium. Its description in RNAcentral is "partial 16S ribosomal RNA". It matches the Rfam family "Bacterial small subunit ribosomal RNA", at positions 28 to 507 of the family's 1533-position model. The record is from RNAcentral.
GAUGAACGCUGGCGGCGUGCUUAACACACGCAAGUCGAACGGUGAAGGCGGAGCUUGCUCUGCUGGAUCAGUGGCGAACGGGUGAGUAACACGUGAGCAAUCUGCCCCUGACUCUGGGAUAAGCGCUGGAAACGGCGUCUAAUACUGGAUACGAGCUGCGAAGGCAUCUUCAGCAGCUGGAAAGAAUUUCGGUCAGGGAUGAGCUCGCGGCCUAUCAGCUUGUUGGUGAGGUAAUGGCUCACCAAGGCGUCGACGGGUAGCCGGCCUGAGAGGGUGACCGGCCACACAGGGACUGAGACACGGCCCAUACUACUACGGGAGGCAGCAGUGGGGUAUAUUGCACAAUGGGCGAAAGCCUGAUGCAGCAACGCCGCGUGAGGGACGACGGCAUUCGGGUUGUAAACCUCUUUUAGCAGGGAAGAAGCGAAAGUGACGGUACCUUCAGAGAAAGCGCCGGCUAACUACGUG